Non-coding RNA from Cinara cedri, 247 nucleotides. Lineage: Eukaryota; Metazoa; Arthropoda; Insecta; Hemiptera; Aphididae. The record is from the annotation of a GenBank genome assembly.
UGUGAAAAAAAAGUCAGGUCUAGUCUGGCAACUUCCUGAAUUAUAUAUGUCAUAAAUCAUAAUAGUAAUUAGGUCCGGGGAAUGGCUAUGUGAUGCUACCUAUUGUCAUUACCACUAACAUUUCCAAGUUCCAACAAAAGCGUUAUUUUAAGAGGACCUACUUACGUUAACAGAUUGAUUUUAUUUGUUUAUAUAUUGUAAAUAGCUACUGAUAAUUGUAUAAUUUAUUUAUUGUUUACAAUACGGG